CAGCAGCCGCGGUAAUACGUAGGGGGCGAGCGUUGUCCGAAGUUACUGGGCGUAAAGCGCGCGUAGGCGGCUUCUUAAGUCUGAGGUGAAAGGUUCAACGCUUAACGUGAACAGUGCCUUGGAUACUGGGGAGCUUGAGUAUGGGAGAGGGCAGUGGAAUGGCUGGUGUAGCGGUGAAAUGCGUAGAUAUCAGUCGGAACACCCAUGGCGAAGGCAGCUGCCUGGCCUAAUACUGACGCUGAGGUGCGAGAGCGUGGGGAGCGAACGGGAUUAGAUACCCGUGUAGUCCCUGUCUCUUAUA
Molecule: ribosomal RNA, 301 nt
Filed under: uncultured bacterium
Lineage: Bacteria
Description: partial 16S ribosomal RNA
Rfam family: Bacterial small subunit ribosomal RNA
Source: RNAcentral